This 345-nucleotide ribosomal RNA is filed under the name uncultured bacterium. RNAcentral's name for it is "bacterial SSU rRNA". It matches the Rfam family "Bacterial small subunit ribosomal RNA", at positions 48 to 421 of the family's 1533-position model. The record is from RNAcentral.
CUAACACAUGCAAGUCGAACGAGAUCUUCGGAUCUAGUGGCGCACGGGUGCGUAACGCGUGGGAAUCUGCCCUUGGGUUCGGAAUAACAGUUAGAAAUGACUGCUAAUACCGAAUGAAGUCUACGGACCAAAGAUUUAUCGCCCAGGGAUGAGCCCGCGUAGGAUUAGCUAGUUGGUGGGGUAAAGGCCUACCAAGGCGACGAUCCUUAGCUGGUCUGAGAGGAUGAUCAGCCACACUGGGACUGAGACACGGCCCAGACUCCUACGGGAGGCAGCAGUGGGGAAUAUUGGACAAUGGGGGCAACCCUGAUCCAGCAAUGCCGCGUGAGUGAUGAAGGCCUUCGG